RNAcentral lists this transfer RNA (29 nucleotides) under Pterogyne nitens (tipa colorada). Its description in RNAcentral is "partial tRNA-Phe". The record is from RNAcentral. Lineage: Eukaryota; Viridiplantae; Streptophyta; Magnoliopsida; Fabales; Fabaceae. RNAcentral also lists the same sequence under 2 other names.
UCGGGAUAGCUCAGCCGGUAGAGCAGAGG